GGAAUAUAGCUCAGUUGGUAGUGCACUUACCUCACAUGUACAAGGCCCUGGGUUCAAUCCCCAGUACCA
This 69-nucleotide transfer RNA is filed under the name Marmota monax (woodchuck). Its description in RNAcentral is "tRNA.Val". The stretch from base 5 to 66 matches the Rfam family "tRNA", at positions 6 to 65 of the family's 71-position model. Rfam says of the family: Transfer RNA (tRNA) molecules are approximately 80 nucleotides in length. Lineage: Eukaryota; Metazoa; Chordata; Mammalia; Rodentia; Sciuridae. The record is from RNAcentral.